Long non-coding RNA from Phasianus colchicus (ring-necked pheasant), 1631 nucleotides. NCBI's taxonomy places the organism in Eukaryota, Metazoa, Chordata, Aves, Galliformes, Phasianidae. The record is from Ensembl.
GAUGUCACCCUAUGGAGAAUGUCACCCUAAGGAGGAUGUCACCCCAUGGAGGUUGAUGUCACCCUAUGGAGGAUGUCACCCUAUGGAGGAGGUCACCCUAUGGAGGAUGUCACCUGGAAGUUGAUGUCACCGUAUGGAGGUGGAUGUCACCCUAUGGAGGAUGUCACCUGGAGGUGGAUGUCACCCUAAGGAGGAUGUCACCCUAUGGAGGAUGUCACCUGGAGGCAGAUGUCACCCUGCGAUGGAUGUCACCCCAUGGACGAUGUCACCCCAUGGUGGAUGUCACCCCAUGGAGGAUGUCAGUUGCUGGCUCGAUGUCACCUGGAGGAGAAUGUCACCCCAUGGCUCACUGGAUGUCACCCUAAUGGAUGUCACCCCAUUUGAUGUCACCCAUUCGGAUGUCACCCCAAUGGGUGUCACCCCAUUAGAUGUCACCCCACUGGAUGUCACCCCAUUUGAUGUCACCCCAUUCGAUGUCACCCCAUUGGACGUCACCCCACGGCUCAAUGGAUGUCACCCGAUUGGAUGUCACCCCAUUGGAUGUCACCCUAAUGGGUGUCACCCCAAUGAAUGUCACCCAUUCGGAUGUCACCCCAAUGGGUGUCACCCCAUUGGAUGUCACCUGCUGUGACCUCAGGGCACGCGUGGCCUUUGCUUUGUACCCGCCUGGGAUUAAUUACCCUUUGGAAAAGUGAUUAAAAAUGCUAAUUUACAUCUCUGCGAACCCCGAGUGGCGUUUUGGGGUCCCCAAACCCCAUUCCUAGACAGAACCGCCGAGUGGAUCCAUAACGCGCAUGCUGAUUGGCUACUUGCAGAGCACGCCUUCGCUCUCGGCCAAUCCCUGCGCGCCUUUCAGAACCGCGGGGGCGGGCCUACCCGUCUGGCCCCGCCCCUCUCGGGGGCGUGUAGCCAAUCAGGGCGGCCGUAGCAUUUUGACGUCUCAGCUCCGCCAAUGGCGUUGUGAGAAACAUAACGAGCAAGGCUUCCGUCCCUCCCUGGUGGUCUAGUGGUUAGGAUUCGGCGCUCUCACCGCCGCGGCCCGGGUUCGAUUCCCGGUCAGGGAAGAUUUGUUUUCUCUCUUUUCUCCCCAUUUUGACCCAUUUCUUCCUAUUUUUUUUUAUCCUUUGGGCCAUUUUCUUCCUCCUUUUUACCCUUUCCUCCUCUUUUUCUCCCUCUUUUCUCCCCAUUUUGACCCUUCCCCAUUUCCCCCUUUGUUUCCUCCUUUUCAGUUUUCCUCCUCCUUUCCAUUUCCCCCCCUUUUUCCUCCUCCUUUUGCAUUUUUUUCCUUUUUUUCUCCUAUUUUUUUCAGUUUUCCUCCUAUUUUUCCCCUUUUUCCCUCCUCAUUUCGCUCUUUUCCUCCUUUUUCUGUAUUCUUUUCCCCCUUUUCCUCCUAUUUUGCCCCAUUUCCCCCAUUUUUUCCUCCCCCUUUUUCCUCCCUGCCCUUCCCCAUUUUGCCCAUUUCUCCAUGUUUCCUCCUCAUUUUCACUUCAUUUCUUCUCUCUUUGAAACUUUUUCCUCUCUUAUCCCCCUUUUCACUCCUCCUCCCCCUCUUCCUCUUUUCCUUUUGACAUUUCUCUCCCAUUUCUCCCCUUCAUUUUGAUUUCCUCCCCCCUUUUUCCUCUCUCCUUUUU